GCCGACGUAGCUCAGCGGCAGAGCGAUGCUUUCGUAAAGCAUAGGUCCUGGGUUCAAUCCCCAGCGUCGGCU
RNAcentral lists this transfer RNA (72 nucleotides) under Phycisphaerae bacterium. RNAcentral describes it as "tRNA-Thr". It matches the Rfam family "tRNA". From Rfam's summary of the family: Transfer RNA (tRNA) molecules are approximately 80 nucleotides in length. Lineage: Bacteria; Pseudomonadati; Planctomycetota; Phycisphaerae. The record is from RNAcentral. RNAcentral also lists the same sequence under 1 other name.